GCCUUCACCUCUUGAGCUCAAGUUAUCCUCCUGCCUCAGCCUCCCAAAGUGUUGGGAUUACAGGCGGGAGCCGCCAUGCCCCAGCCUAUUGAUAUUCUUGUUGAGGUUCUCAGACAUAUCUGCAUGGCCUCACACAUGGAGGAAAGAGACCCACAGAGGCAAAAACAAGACAUGGGGUAAAAAUAGACUGGAAGGAAACACACCGAAUGAUAGUGGUUUUUUCUGGGUGUUGAGAUUACCGAGCUUAUUUUUAAAUUUCUUAGAUCCUUCAGGUGUUCUACAACGUAAAAUGCAGACAGGGUGGGGACGUUGGUUGGAGUCAUGUUUUCCCUAAUGUUCUUACUGGUUCUAAAAUCUUCAAGCUAUGCUCUCACCCAAGGCUUCACUUAUUAUUAUUUUAACACUGUGGAUUCAUAAAGAAUGGAAGCCCACACAAGUCCAGGGAAGGAAGGAAAGGCAGACAGAGGCUUAUUUUCAGGCCUGGGCAGUUGCACAGGGUCCCUUGCUUAGAAGGGCCUCAUGCUUGGUUUCGUGUUCUGUGGUCGCUGUCCUGAAAUUCUUACUGAUUUUUGAACAAGGGAUCCUGUAUUUUCAUUUUGCACUGUGCCCUGAAAAUCAUGCCGCCGUCACUAGCCCUGGGAUUCUCCCCAGGACAGGUUUCCCUUCAGCUGCUCUAAGCCUUCGCCCUUGUCCUUGUCCAACCACGGACGUGGCCAUCCACGGAGCCCUCUACGUGCCUCAGAGCAAGUGUGCUUCGGCUGCUCAGGUGUGUGUCUAGAGACUGAUAAAAACAGGGCUCGUGAGUGGGUGCGGGAGGCCCCUGUGGUCUCUGUUCACACACGUACCUACCCUCAAGGCCAUGUCUACACUGGCCUAUUUCAGAGAACCGCCCUGUGCAUCAUGGGAUGCUUUGCCCCACAUCACGGCCCAGCUUGGUUCAGUCCUGGAGCCCUGUGUCCUGAAGCCAUGACCAACCCCAGGCCUGGCCCACCUUCUUCCUCAGUCUCCUCUCCCUCAAGCCCUCCACAGGACCCAUAAACCUUCCAUCUCCAUGUAAUCCUUUUGUGUGAUCCUUCUUCCAUACCUUUGCCCAUGCUGUUCACUCUGCUUGUACCAGCAAGGUUCCUUCCUCCCCAGAUCUGCCCUUUCUAGACCCAUCUCAGAUUCCACCCUUUCUAGAAAGACUUCAGGAAGUAUUUGAGAAGGGCCUGAAGAUGCUGUGGUUGCAUAGAGGAGGAUAUGAAUCACCUCGCUUAGAGGUAUCGGGGAGGGCUCCAUGGAGGUGGUGCCCUCAGGCCAAGGAAGAGAAGAUAUCUUCCGGGCAGAAGGGAGAGUUUGACGGGCUGGUUUGAUGUCAGACAGACCACAGGAUGACUCAAGGUCCUCUUUCCUCUUCUUAAACAUUAGUUGCAGCAAGUCCCACCAUCUGCCUGAGUCUGUUUUCAUCUCCACAAUGGAGGUGGUGAUGCCCAGCACACGGAGCUGUGAUGAGGAUUUAAUGGGGAAUCCAGAGCAUUUAUGGAAGUGCCAGGAGGCCAAGAUUCUGCAUAGGGACUGCAUGUGCUGGUGGAAUCUCAGUCACCAUGUCCCACGUUGAAGGAUGUUUGGAGGGGGCUGACUUUGGUCACCCUUCAAAUCAUAAGUUAUAUGCGUCUGCCCUUUCCGCCCACACUGAGAAGGGCUGAAUAUCACCUGUGAGCCUGCCCCUGCUCCCAAGAACACCCUUUGGACACCUGUGGGCUCUGCAAGGUUGGUGUAACCCCUACAGAUGAGGAAACCAGAGACAGAGAAGUGAAGUAACUCAUGCAGGUGACGGCAGAGGGCAGAGUCAGGACUUGAACCUGGAGAGCCUGGCUCUAAAGCCCAAGCUGGAAUCUCGAUACUCUACACCUCGAUAAGUUUUUGGGAAAUGACUGACUAAACAGAUGAACGCGUUUGCCCCCCCGCCGCCCCAGAGCCCCCUUAAAGCCUACAUGUGGCAGUUUGGGCCCAUUUCCUUGGCUUCCCUCCCUGGAGGGGCACCCACUGCCAGUGUCCCUGGUGAGUGUUUGCCUGUGGGGGUACAAGUGAGGGUUCAGCAAAGGUGACCUGGUGUGAGGGGGGGGUGCCCCAGGGGGUGCAGAGGAGGGCCUCAUGAGGCAGAUUCAGAAUGAAGGUUCUGGCCCCCAGUGGAACCGUGCAUGGGCAAGGGGUCCUCAGGGCCAUUGGCCCAUAAUUGUCAGACGGGGAAACUGAGGCCCAGAGAGAGGAAGGGACUUGUCCUUAGUUACACAGAGUGUCUGGAUCACAGCUCUUAGGUCUCAGCUUCCCCAUUUGUCACACAGGGAGAAUAAAUCCCCCUUGUCCUGCCUGGGGGUAGACCCCAGGGGGCCCCUGUGCCCUCUCACACCUUCCAUUCCAGCUUCUAGAAUUCCACCAUCCAUGCACCAGCCCUGAGGGUAGGCGUUGCCCUCUUCUCACCUCCUGCUCACGCCUCUACUGCAGGAUGGGAACCAAAUGCCUCUCCACCCUUUUCCCACACCCCUUCUCUCCACAGUGAACUGAGGGGAGUUUCUGAUCCCUUAGCUCAAAGUCAGAGAAACUGAGAGGGGAGGGCUGGGUGGGAGCCGUGGGAAUGUCAUGCACAAGCAGUCGGACUCUCCAGGGGUCUGGAUCUCUCCCUUGCUGCCUUGAAGGCCCCUGCACAGGCUGUGGCACUGGCUGAGUACAGGUGCCUGAAGGCAGAGGCAUGGAUGGGAUGCUUCAUUCUCAGCCUGUUUUUGCCAGUGAAGACAAAAGGGAAGUCAUCUUCCGUUGGUCUAUGGGGACCCUGAGGUAGUAGGAGCUCGGUGAUAAUUCUAGGGACCACCCUGGGUUGUCAGGUGGGGGAGACAGAGAAGCCCACAUAGGAGGCACCAAAUGCAACUCACUCGUGCCCUUUUACUCAUGAGAGAACACGGAUCCAGAGAUGUCAAGUGACUCAGACACAGUCUCACAGCACACAGGCGGCAGAGGCAGGUAGGGGACUGGGCUUCCCUGGCAGCAGUCCCCAAGCCUGCCUGAGAGGCACAUCAGAAUCGCUUUAGGGGAUUUGCAAAACCACACCUGCCCAGGCCCAAACCCUAGAGAUUCUGAUUCCGCAGUCUGAGGUAGGAAUGGAGAAUCCUCCACAGCCUGAGGUAGGAACUGGGAAUCCAGUGUUUAAAACUCUCUAGGGGCGGUGAUUUCAGAAAACCUGCUGGCUCCAUCACACUUUGCUCAGGGACUGAGAUGGGAUGGCAUUUGGAAGACACAGGUAGGAGGAAGAGGAGGCAGUGGGGGGCACAGGGAGACCCUUCCCCUUCUGGUAAAAGCCUGUGGACGAGAGAACAGCCCGAGUAAGAUUCUGAGAACCCGAGACCCGGAUGGACCUGGAGUUUUUGUCUUGCGUAUAAUUUAGGGGGUCUGUGACACUGGGCUGGAGAUAACCGUGUCUUUCCUUUCCCUGGCCUCUAGCUGAAAUUUAGCAUCAUAUUCCAUGGCGAUUUUCCACCAGUGGAAAUCACAGGUGUUCUCUGGUAUCACAGCGGGGUCAGGGAUGACCUGAAAUAUUGUUCAUGCUCAUCACAACUGCAUGGCCCACCGCGGGGUCUUGUCACUCAGUGAGUUCUUGAAGAGGCACAGACAAAUGGAGUUCAACAAAUGGAAAACAACUGCCUUUAAUUAGCUCCGAGGACUACAAAGGGAACAACGUUAUAAUAGCAGCAACUCCAAGGAAGCAGCCACAGCUCUCAGCUCUCAGACCUGGGGCUGCCGCUCAUCAUCAGCUACAGCUAGGUUUGAUGGGAGUGCCCCCAUUUCAGGGGACAGCAGGCCCCCUUCACUCCCCGACUCAGUCCCCAUCUGCAGCAGCACAGCCUUCCUUGGCCUCACCAGGGAAGAAGAACAGGCCCCGCUCUCAGACAAGCCUUCCCAGAAGCCUGAGGACUCAAACACCCAAAUGUGUCUGGGUCCCUGCCCCGAGCCGGCCACCCAGGCAGCAGCCCUGAAUCACUCGGUCAGCCAGCGGCAGGGCAGGCCAAUGGGCUGGAGGGUAGGCAGGCAGGCAGACCCACCUCUGCAUCUCUGCUGACUGCCUCGGCUGAGGAAAGGCAGCACCAGCCCCCAACCCUGAAGUUCUAGAUCUCAUGCAGCCUCUCUGUUCUGGAACCAUCCAGAGGCACUGCCCUUAUACAUGGUCCACCCCCAGGCUCAGACAAUGAGAAUUCCACAAGCAGAGGGGACUCUAUUUGGGGCACAGAGAGGUUAAGUAACUCCCCUCCUAAGGUCUCUCAGCAAGGAAGCCACUGAGCCGUGGGACUUGAGCUCAGGGACUCUUGAUCCCCAGUCUCAGGUGUCACAGCCCCAUCUGGGCUCCUGCUAGGGAGGAGGAAGGCAGCAGGGGGUGUCUGAGGCCAGGGUGCAUCAGCCCUAAAUGCCAGACAGAGGCAGGAGAAGUCUCCCCAUGAGUCCCAGCCCCAUUAGAGGCUCCAGGUCGGGGAUCCCAGACCCCCUAUCCUUGCUGGGAGACACAACCCAGAACUCUGCAUCCCUGCAGCCACCAAAAAAGGCAAAAGCUGCCCAGAAACACUUUCUCCUCUUCCGUGGCCAAAUCCACGAACUUUCUCGAGGUCUGUCCCCCUGCCCCGUGCAGGUCCAGCUUCAGUGCAGCCCAGCUCUGUGCAGUUUUCCACAAAAGCCUGUGGCUUCCUUCUCCUCCCUCUGCUUCUGAUACCCCAGGAGUUACACACAAAAUGUUGGCGGUGGUCUCCAGGAAGACCCCUGCAUCCCACAGCUCUCCCCAGAAGUUGCCAGCAGUGACCUCCUGAGCCCAGGUGGGGAGUCCCAGGCAGGACAGGGGCUGGGGCUGCAGGCCCUGGGGCCCUGUUAGUGAAGCAGCAAGCCGAGGGUCCCUGAGAGUUUCCCUUGGCCCCUCUGAGGGCUGCCCUUUGAGGUCUUGAGGUCUUGGAGUAUCCAUCGCCCCCACGGCUUACUGUCCCCACCAGCGGAGGAUGAAAGUGCCACAGCGAUGUUCCACGCCAAGAGACCACAGAGACCACCAACCCCUCUUCCCACCUCAGGCUUUCAGAGGCCAGCGGAUUUAGGCGGACAGGCUGUGCGCUUGAGGGCAGCCAGGGCGGUCAGUGGAGGGACGUGGUCCGGGGCCUGGCCACAGCUCCCCACCCAGGGCCCUGGGCUAUUGUUACUCACCGCGGAUGAAGGUCGGCGAGUAGGUCGGGAAGGAGUCGAAGAUGCUGUUCGAUGCCAUGCCCCGCUCUGAAGAAGGCGAGAAUUUUCAGCCCUUCAGGGGGUUGGGUUGGGAUUCACUUGGUUGGCUGUUGUUUUAUUUUUUUUUCCUCUAGCUACUUUUGAAAAUAAAAGGGGGGGGUGUUGCUUUUUGUUGUUU
Molecule: long non-coding RNA, 5404 nt
Filed under: Homo sapiens (human)
Lineage: Eukaryota; Metazoa; Chordata; Mammalia; Primates; Hominidae
Description: HSALNT0290860
Source: RNAcentral